RNAcentral lists this ribosomal RNA (467 nucleotides) under uncultured bacterium. RNAcentral's name for it is "partial 16S ribosomal RNA". It matches the Rfam family "Bacterial small subunit ribosomal RNA", at positions 28 to 506 of the family's 1533-position model. The record is from RNAcentral.
GACGAACGCUGGCGGCGUGCUUAACACAUGCAAGUCGAACGGAAAGGCCCUGCUUUUGUGGGGUGCUCGAGUGGCGAACGGGUGAGUAACACGUGAGUAACCUGCCCUUGACUUUGGGAUAACUUCAGGAAACUGGGGCUAAUACCGGAUAGGAGCUCCUGCUUCAUGGUGGGGGUUGGAAAGUUUCGGCGGUUGGGGAUGGACUCGCGGCUUAUCAGCUUGUUGGUGGGGUAGUGGCUUACCAAGGCUUUGACGGGUAGCCGGCCUGAGAGGGUGACCGGCCACAUUGGGACUGAGAUACGGCACAGACUCCUACGGGAGGCAGCAGUGGGGAAUAUUGCACAAUGGGCGGAAGCCUGAUGCAGCAAAGCCGCGUGCGGGAUGACGGCCUUCGGGUUGUAAACCGCUUUCGCCUGUGACGAAGCGUGAGUGACGGUAAUGGGUAAAGAAGCACCGGCUAACUACGU